This 1486-nucleotide ribosomal RNA is filed under the name Citrobacter freundii. RNAcentral's name for it is "partial 23S ribosomal RNA". It matches the Rfam family "Bacterial large subunit ribosomal RNA", at positions 1 to 1533 of the family's 2925-position model. Lineage: Bacteria; Pseudomonadati; Pseudomonadota; Gammaproteobacteria; Enterobacterales; Enterobacteriaceae. The record is from RNAcentral.
GGUUAAGCGACUAAGCGUACACGGUGGAUGCCCUGGCAGUCAGAGGCGAUGAAGGACGUGCUAAUCUGCGAUAAGCGUCGGUAAGGUGAUAUGAACCGUUAUAACCGGCGAUUUCCGAAUGGGGAAACCCAGUGUGAUUCGUCACACUAUCAUUACGUGAAUACAUAGCGUAAUGAAGCGAACCGGGGGAACUGAAACAUCUAAGUACCCCGAGGAAAAGAAAUCAACCGAGAUUCCCCCAGUAGCGGCGAGCGAACGGGGAGCAGCCCAGAGUCUGAAUCAGCUUGUGUGUUAGUGGAACGGUCUGGAAAGUCCGACGGUACAGGGUGAUAGUCCCGUACACCAAAAUGCACAGGUUGUGAACUCGAAGAGUAGGGCGGGACACGUGGUAUCCUGUCUGAAUAUGGGGGGACCAUCCUCCAAGGCUAAAUACUCCUGACUGACCGAUAGUGAACCAGUACCGUGAGGGAAAGGCGAAAAGAACCCCGGCGAGGGGAGUGAAAAAGAACCUGAAACCGUGUACGUACAAGCAGUGGGAGCCUCUUUAUGGGGUGACUGCGUACCUUUUGUAUAAUGGGUCAGCGACUUAUAUUCUGUAGCAAGGUUAACCGUAUAGGGGAGCCGAAGGGAAACCGAGUCUUAACUGGGCGUUAAGUUGCAGGGUAUAGACCCGAAACCCGGUGAUCUAGCCAUGGGCAGGUUGAAGGUUGGGUAACACUAACUGGAGGACCGAACCGACUAAUGUUGAAAAAUUAGCGGAUGACUUGUGGCUGGGGGUGAAAGGCCAAUCAAACCGGGAGAUAGCUGGUUCUCCCCGAAAGCUAUUUAGGUAGCGCCUCGUGAACUCAUCUUCGGGGGUAGAGCACUGUUUCGGCUAGGGGGUCAUCCCGACUUACCAACCCGAUGCAAACUGCGAAUACCGAAGAAUGUUAUCACGGGAGACACACGGCGGGUGCUAACGUCCGUCGUGAAGAGGGAAACAACCCAGACCGCCAGCUAAGGUCCCAAAGUCAUGGUUAAGUGGGAAACGAUGUGGGAAGGCACAGACAGCCAGGAUGUUGGCUUAGAAGCAGCCAUCAUUUAAAGAAAGCGUAAUAGCUCACUGGUCGAGUCGGCCUGCGCGGAAGAUGUAACGGGGCUAAACCAUGCACCGAAGCUGCGGCAGCGACACUAUGUGUUGUUGGGUAGGGGAGCGUUCUGUAAGCCGUUGAAGGUGGCCUGUGAGGGUUGCUGGAGGUAUCAGAAGUGCGAAUGCUGACAUAAGUAACGAUAAUGCGGGUGAAAAACCCGCACGCCGGAAGACCAAGGGUUCCUGUCCAACGUUAAUCGGGGCAGGGUGAGUCGACCCCUAAGGCGAGGCCGAAAGGCGUAGUCGAUGGGAAACAGGUUAAUAUUCCUGUACUUGGUGUUACUGCGAAGGGGGGACGGAGAAGGCUAUGUUAGCCGGGCGACGGUUGUCCCGGUUUAAGCAUGUAGGCGGAGGUUC